UGCUUACCAUGCAAGUCGAACGCUGAGCUGGGUGCUUGCACCUGGUGGAUGAGUGGCGAACGGGUGAGUAAUACGUGAGUGACCUUCCUUGGACUCUGGGAUAAGCCCGGGAAACUGGGUCUAAUACCGGAUACGACCAGUCCUCGCAUGGGGUGCUGGUGGAAAGGGUUUGUACUGGUUCUUGAUGGGCUCACGUCCUAUCAGCUUGUUGGUGAGGUAAUGGCUUACCAAGGCGACGACGGGUAGCCGGCCUGAGAGGGUGACCGGCCACACUGGGACUGAGACACGGCCCAGACUCCUACGGGAGGCAGCAGUGGGGAAUAUUGCACAAUGGGCGCAAGCCUGAUGCAGCGACGCCGCGUGGGGGAUGACGGCCUUCGGGUUGUAAACCUCUUUCAGCAGGGAAGAAGCGAAAGUGACGGUACCUGCAGAAGAAGCGCCGGCUAACUACGUGCCAGCAGCCGCGGUAAUACGUAGGGCGCAAGCGUUGUCCGGAAUUAUUGGGCGUAAAGAGCUCGUAGGCGGUUUGUCGCGUCUGCUGUGAAAGCCCGGGGCUCAACCCCGGGUGUGCAGUGGGUACGGGCAGGCUGGAGUGCAGUAGGGGAGACUGGAAUUCCUGGUGUAGCGGUGAAAUGCGCAGAUAUCAGGAGGAACACCGAUGGCGAAGGCAGGUCUCUGGGCUGUUACUGACGCUGAGGAGCGAAAGCAUGGGGAGCGAACAGGAUUAGAUACCCUGGUAGUCCAUGCCGUAAACGUUGGGCACUAGGUGUGGGGGACAUUCCACGUUUUCCGCGCCGUAGCUAACGCAUUAAGUGCCCCGCCUGGGGGAGUACGGCCGCAAGGCUAAACUCAAAGGAAUUGACGGGGGCCCGCACAGCGGCGGAGCAUGCGGAUUAAUUCGAUGCAACGCGAAGACCUUACCAAGGCUUGACAUACACCGGAUCGCAGCAGAGAUGUUGUUUCCCUUCAGGCUGGUGUACAGGUGGUG
Molecule: ribosomal RNA, 988 nt
Filed under: Kocuria sp.
Lineage: Bacteria; Bacillati; Actinomycetota; Actinomycetes; Micrococcales; Micrococcaceae
Description: bacterial SSU rRNA
Rfam family: Bacterial small subunit ribosomal RNA
Source: RNAcentral